RNAcentral lists this ribosomal RNA (1467 nucleotides) under Burkholderia cenocepacia. RNAcentral's name for it is "bacterial LSU rRNA". It matches the Rfam family "Bacterial large subunit ribosomal RNA", at positions 1 to 1518 of the family's 2925-position model. Lineage: Bacteria; Pseudomonadati; Pseudomonadota; Betaproteobacteria; Burkholderiales; Burkholderiaceae. The record is from RNAcentral.
GUUAUAGGGUCAAGCGAACAAGUGCAUGUGGUGGAUGCCUUGGCGAUCACAGGCGAUGAAGGACGCGGUAGCCUGCGAAAAGCUACGGGGAGCUGGCAAACGAGCUUUGAUCCGUAGAUGUCCGAAUGGGGAAACCCACUCCUUUUGGAGUAUCCAUGGCUGAAUACAUAGGCCAUGCGAAGCGAACGCGGUGAACUGAAACAUCUAAGUAACCGCAGGAAAAGAAAUCAACCGAGAUUCCCAAAGUAGUGGCGAGCGAAAUGGGAUGAGCCUUGCACUCUUUAUUUGUAUUGUUAGCCGAACGCUCUGGAAAGUGCGGCCAUAGCAGGUGAUAGCCCUGUAGGCGAAAACAGUAUGAAAGAACUAGGUGUGCGACAAGUAGGGCGGGACACGUGAAAUCCUGUCUGAAGAUGGGGGACCAUCCUCCAAGGCUAAAUACUCGUGAUCGACCGAUAGUGAACCAGUACCGUGAGGGAAAGGCGAAAAGAACCCCGGGAGGGGAGUGAAAUAGAUCCUGAAACCGCAUGCAUACAAACAGUCGGAGCCUCGUAAGGGGUGACGGCGUACCUUUUGUAUAAUGGGUCAGCGACUUACGUUCAGUAGCAAGCUUAACCGUAUAGGGCAGGCGUAGCGAAAGCGAGUCCGAAUAGGGCGUUCAGUUGCUGGGCGUAGACCCGAAACCAGGUGAUCUAUCCAUGGCCAGGAUGAAGGUGCGGUAACACGUACUGGAGGUCCGAACCCACUAACGUUGAAAAGUUAGGGGAUGAGCUGUGGAUAGGGGUGAAAGGCUAAACAAACCUGGAAAUAGCUGGUUCUCUCCGAAAACUAUUUAGGUAGUGCCUCGUGUCUCACCUUCGGGGGUAGAGCACUGUCAUGGUUGGGGGGUCUAUUGCAGAUUACCCCGCCAUAGCAAACUCCGAAUACCGAAGAGUGCAAUCACGGGAGACAGACAUCGGGUGCUAACGUCCGGUGUCAAGAGGGAAACAACCCAGACCGCCAGCUAAGGUCCCCAAAUAUAGCUAAGUGGGAAACGAAGUGGGAAGGCUAAAACAGUCAGGAGGUUGGCUUAGAAGCAGCCACCCUUUAAAGAAAGCGUAAUAGCUCACUGAUCGAGUCGUCCUGCGCGGAAGAUGUAACGGGGCUAAGCUAUAUACCGAAGCUGCGGAUGCGAGCUUGCUCGCAUGGUAGGAGAGCGUUCCGUAAGCCUGCGAAGGUGCCUUGUAAAGGGUGCUGGAGGUAUCGGAAGUGCGAAUGCUGACAUGAGUAGCGAUAAAGGGGGUGAAAGGCCCCUCGCCGUAAGCCCAAGGUUUCCUACGCAACGUUCAUCGGCGUAGGGUGAGUCGGCCCUAAGGCGAGGCAGAAAUGCGUAGCUGAUGGGAAGCAGGUCAAUAUUCCUGCACCAUUGUUAGAUGCGAUGGGGGACGGAUCGCGAAGGUUGUCCGGGUGUUGGAAGUCCCGGUCGCUGCA